CUCGGCGACGUUGCGAGACGCCCGCGCCAAAAAGUGUCUUCGUGCGUCCUUGUGCGGCCAAACUUGUCCAGCAGAUCGCUCCGCUUCUGCGCUCAGCUCGCACUCACAAUGUGGAAAAGACAAGUGGGACGGGAUGCACACGGGCAGCCAGUUUGCCGCUCGCUGUCAACUGAAAAUAACACGGUGCCGAAGGGCUGAGGUGACGACAAUCGAAAGUUACCCGUUUUUUGGAUUUGCUCAAAUGACGUUCGCAAGCUGAGCUCUUAUAGACUGUGAUGUCGUUUUCAGUUGACAGCAAGUGGCAUAAUGGCUGGCCCGGAGGUGGAUAAAACUAGGUGGAUAUUGCUGCUUUAUUCAUAAUCCACAAAAUUAAGUAUCAAUCAGAGUACCAUUUUUGACCAGUGGAGCCGAAAACAACAUAGUAUGGUGAAGUACUUUUUUUUUUACUUUACUUUCCCUUUCAUGAAAAAAUAAAUUAAUAUUUAAAAAAAGAAAGAAAUUACAACUGUUUGGUUCUGGAGACUUGUACUUUCGUGUUACUUAUUUUCUUUUAGAAUUUUAGGUCAAUUUCCAAUUAGUGAGGCUGGAAAAAUACAAAGACCCCAUUGUUUUACUACUGGAGGAAUAGGCAGGUCCAUUGUUUUGGGGAUAUUUGGAGAAUAGCUCCACAAAGUUGUUGUUUUUUUUUUUUCUGUGAAAAGCGGUCUUCUUCUGUUUGAGGAACACAGCUAUAGACGCUGAGAGGGAAUUUCUUCAGUGUUCACCCAUGAGUAAGAAUCUGCAUCCACCCCACCAAGCGAUGACGCCAUAACAACAACAUGAGGAGGCUCGCGCGCCCCAAUCGGUCGGCGCCUUUAACAGCCAAACACUUGCUUACGCACCUUAAUUCAUUCACACACUCCUCCACCCUCUGCAUUUUCGGGCAUUUUCCCAGGGUUAUUAUCCCGCGCCAGGUGCCCCGGCCCCCCCAAUCCCAUCCAUCUCCUCCUCUCUAUCCCUUGCCAUUUCUGUGUCCCUCAAAGCGCCAGCAUAGCCCCACCUCGUGGUGCCAAGGUGGGCAGCCUCUGCCUUGGCUGUGCCGAGGCCUUCUGGUGUCCCAGAUAGCUGUGAGUGUGUGUGUGAGUGUGACUGUGUGUGCUCGUCCAGCUCACAGCAGACCAAGCCAGCCCUUUAAACUGUGUCGAGGCUCCAGAUGCUUGGAGAGACUUGGAUUAACACAGGCGUUUGUAUGCAGACACACAGGCACAAACACACACGCUUCAUCCGUAUAACACGUCACGCUUCGCCCUGUCGUAGCAUGCAACGCGUCCCGCGUGAAAGUGUCAAACAGAGGGUGAAGAAACGCACGAAA
Molecule: long non-coding RNA, 1351 nt
Organism: Hippocampus zosterae (dwarf seahorse)
Lineage: Eukaryota; Metazoa; Chordata; Actinopteri; Syngnathiformes; Syngnathidae
Exons: 2
Source: RefSeq, a predicted model, not a curated record